Molecule: ribosomal RNA, 478 nt
Filed under: uncultured bacterium
Lineage: Bacteria
Description: bacterial SSU rRNA
Rfam family: Bacterial small subunit ribosomal RNA
Source: RNAcentral
GGACUCGCACAAGCGGUGGAGCAUGCGGUUUAAUUCGAUGCAACGCGAAGAACCUUACCAGGUCUUGACAGUGUAAAGAAUACUUAAGAGAUUAAGGGCUACGAAUUAAGCUUGCUUGAUUUACUUUAUAAACAGGUGGUGCAUGGUUGUCGUCAGCUCGUGUCGUGAGAUGUUGGGUUAAGUCCCGCAACGAGCGCAACCCUUAUCACUAGUUGCCAUCAUUCAGUUGGGCACUCUAGUGAGACUGCCGGUGACAAAUCGGAUGAAGGUGGGGAUGACGUCAAAUCAUCAUGCCCCUUAUGACCUGGGCUACACGCGUGCUACAAUGGCUAAUACAAAGAGUCGCAAAACCGUGAGGUAGAGCUAAUCUCAUAAAGUUAGUCUCAGUUCGGAUUGUAGUCUGCAACUCGACUACAUGAAGUUGGAAUCGCUAGUAAUCGUAAAUCAGAAUGUUACGGUGAAUACGUUCUCGAGUCUU